CGUCAUCUGUCCCCGACACCCCUGCGGCGAGCCUUGCCACUGGGCCCUGAGAAGCUCAGAGCAGUCGAGUCAGGGCAGUGGGACAUGACCCAGGUCAGAUGUGGCUUUUCCGUAAUUGUACACCAAUGAUCAAGAGAAAAUGAAGGAUUUUAAUAUAAUGGGCUGCAAAUGUAACAAAUCCCCUGACCUUCAGUCUGAGGAGAGAGAACUAUCAACCACACAGAAGCAAAGAUCCAGAGAAAUACUGAGGGAUGCUACCAGACACU
RNAcentral lists this non-coding RNA (266 nucleotides) under Pongo abelii (Sumatran orangutan). Lineage: Eukaryota; Metazoa; Chordata; Mammalia; Primates; Hominidae. The record is from RNAcentral.